This 382-nucleotide ribosomal RNA is filed under the name uncultured eukaryote. RNAcentral's name for it is "partial 18S ribosomal RNA". It matches the Rfam family "Eukaryotic small subunit ribosomal RNA", at positions 592 to 976 of the family's 1831-position model. The record is from RNAcentral.
UGUAAGCGUAUACCAAAGUUGUUGCAGUUAAAACGCUCGUAGUCGGAAUUUGGCUGUUCCGGAUGUGUGCACGUCGUGUGCGCACUUCGCGGGGAUUGCUUUUGUGGUCUUGCGUAGGAUGAGGCACUUUUAUUAGUGAACGUCCUCACGCAACCACUUUUUACUGUGAGAAAAUCAGAGUGCUCAAAGCAGGCAUUUGCCGUGAAUGUAUUAGCAUGGAAUAAUAGAAUAGGACUCGGUUCUAUUUUGUUGGUUUGUUGGGACUGAGUAAUGAUUAAGAGGGACAGUUGGGGGCAUUUGUAUUUCGGCGCUAGAGGUGAAAUUCUUAGAUUGCCGAAAGACAAACUGCUGCGAAAGCGUCUGCCAAGGAUGUUUUCAUUGA